GACGAACGCUGGCGGCGUGCCUAAUACAUGCAAGUAGAACGCUGAAGGAGGAGCUUGCUUCUCUGGAUGAGUUGCGAACGGGUGAGUAACGCGUAGGUAACCUGCCUGGUAGCGGGGGAUAACUAUUGGAAACGAUAGCUAAUACCGCAUAAGAGUAGAUGUUGCAUGACAUUUGCUUAAAAGGUGCACUUGCAUCACUACCAGAUGGACCUGCGUUGUAUUAGCUAGUUGGUGAGGUAACGGCUCACCAAGGCAACGAUACAUAGCCGACCUGAGAGGGUGAUCGGCCACACUGGGACUGAGACACGGCCCAGACUCCUACGGGAGGCAGCAGUAGGGAAUCUUCGGCAAUGGACGGAAGUCUGACCGAGCAACGCCGCGUGAGUGAAGAAGGUUUUCGGAUCGUAAAGCUCUGUUGUAAGAGAAGAACGAGUGUGAGAGUGGAAAGUUCACACUGUGACGGUAUCUUACCAGAAAGGGACGGCUAACUACGU
RNAcentral lists this ribosomal RNA (494 nucleotides) under uncultured bacterium. RNAcentral describes it as "partial 16S ribosomal RNA". It matches the Rfam family "Bacterial small subunit ribosomal RNA", at positions 28 to 506 of the family's 1533-position model. The record is from RNAcentral.